Molecule: ribosomal RNA, 497 nt
Filed under: uncultured bacterium
Lineage: Bacteria
Description: partial 16S ribosomal RNA
Rfam family: Bacterial small subunit ribosomal RNA
Source: RNAcentral
GAUGAACGCUGGCGGCGUGCCUAAUACAUGCAAGUCGAGCGAACAGACGAGGAGCUUGCUCCUCUGACGUUAGCGGCGGACGGGUGAGUAACACGUGGAUAACCUACCUAUAAGACUGGGAUAACUUCGGGAAACCGGAGCUAAUACCGGAUAAUAUAUUGAACCGCAUGGUUCAAUAGUGAAAGACGGUUUUGCUGUCACUUAUAGAUGGAUUCACGCCGCAUUAGCUAGUUGGUAAGGUAACGGCUUACCAAGGCAACGAUGCGUAGCCGACCUGAGAGGGUGAUCGGCCACACUGGAACUGAGACACGGUCCAGACUCCUACGGGAGGCAGCAGUAGGGAAUCUUCCGCAAUGGGCGAAAGCCUGACGGAGCAACGCCGCGUGAGUGAUGAAGGUCUUCGGAUCGUAAAACUCUGUUAUUAGGGAAGAACAAAUGUGUAAGUAACUAUGCACGUCUUGACGGUACCUAAUCAGAAAGCCACGGCUAACUACGUG